UCACAGCUGAUUAAUUAGAAGCAAGCACGCGACAGCCACUGUGCAUGCUGGCCGGCAACGCGAGGCAUGGUGUGGUGCAAAAUCCCAAACAGAGAUGAGAAAAUAACAUGGAUCCUGGAAAAUAACCACAGAUAACCACAAGGCAACAGAGUUGUAGCACUGGUCAAAACUACUGCCCAUGAUGAGGUUUCAUUGCUACAGAAAAUUAACAGUAUUUCAGCUGAUUUCACACCCCCUAUCCCUACCUCCUGCAUGUUAGUUGUCUAGAAAGCAGCUAUUCCACCUCCUCCAGAAAACCGGGAAAGUCAUUUCUAUCAAUGUCUUCAUUACCACAAAGAUCCACUACAACUGAAUUAUGUCUUGGGGGAAUUCACAACGUGCUUUUGCC
This is a long non-coding RNA of Fukomys damarensis (Damara mole-rat), 388 nucleotides long. RefSeq lists it as uncharacterized. The transcript has 3 exons. The record is from RefSeq and is a predicted model, not a curated record. NCBI's taxonomy places the organism in Eukaryota, Metazoa, Chordata, Mammalia, Rodentia, Bathyergidae.